AUUCUUCUGCUAGAGCCUCUAAUAGAGCUUUGCGAUGAACUGUUCUGGGUCCAAGAUCUUUUAAUAAGAUCUCUCGAACAGCUCCGGUGGCCAAAUUCGUUGUAGACACCCUUAAGAAAGGAGUAUAAAGGGAAUUAAGCUUAUGAGAAACACCAAGAGUAUCAAGAGCGAGCCAAGCAUUUUGAGUGAGGGUUAAGGCUGCACCAGUG
This 209-nucleotide unclassified non-coding RNA is filed under the name Hevea brasiliensis (rubber tree). Lineage: Eukaryota; Viridiplantae; Streptophyta; Magnoliopsida; Malpighiales; Euphorbiaceae. The record is from RNAcentral.